CCUACGGGCGGCUGCAGUGGGGAAUAUUGGGCAAUGGAGGCAACUCUGACCCAGCAAUGCCGCGUGAAUGAAGAAGGUCUUCGGAUUGUAAAGUUCUUUAAUCAGGGACGAAGAAAAUGACGGUACCUGACUAAGAAGCCCCGGCUAACUACGUGCCAGCAGCCGCGGUAAUACGUAGGGGGCAAGCGUUAUCCGGAUUUACUGGGUGUAAAGGGAGCGUAGACGGUUAUGCAAGUCUGAAGUGAAAGCCCAAGGGUCAACCAUGGGACUGCUUUGGAAACUGUAAAACUGGAGUGCAGGAGAGGUAAGCGGAAUUCGUAGUGUAGCGGUGAAACGCGUAGAUAUUAGGAGGAACACCAGUGGCGAAGGCGGCUUACUGGACUGUAACUGACGUUGAGGCUCGAAGGCGUGGGGAGCAAACAGGAUUAGAUACCCCAGUAGUC
RNAcentral lists this ribosomal RNA (443 nucleotides) under uncultured bacterium. RNAcentral describes it as "partial 16S ribosomal RNA". It matches the Rfam family "Bacterial small subunit ribosomal RNA", at positions 338 to 795 of the family's 1533-position model. The record is from RNAcentral.